UUGGUCACUACGAAGGGAACCUUGAAGAGUUCAAGAGGUACUAUUCUCAUUAUGCAGUGGACUUCUUUCAAGAGAAAGCUACUGGAAAGAAGAAGGUUAAAUCCACUAAGAAGCAAAAGAAGGAGAGCAGGCCAAAGAAGGAAGUUCCUAAUAAGGCUGAAGCAAAGGGAAAGUGUUUCUACUAUGAUGCUGAAGGCCAUUAGAAGUGAACUGUCCACU
This 219-nucleotide long non-coding RNA is filed under the name Elaeis guineensis (African oil palm). RNAcentral describes it as "long non-coding RNA (EGUI_LNC040005)". Lineage: Eukaryota; Viridiplantae; Streptophyta; Magnoliopsida; Arecales; Arecaceae. The record is from RNAcentral.